GACGAACGCUGGCGGCGUGCUUAACACAUGCAAGUCGAACGGAAAGGCCCUGUUUUUGUGGUGUUCUCGUGUGGCACACGGGUGUGUAACGCGUGUGUACCCUGCCCUUCACUUUGGGAUAACUUCGGGAAACUGGGUCUAAUCCCGUAUAGGAGCCCCCUCUGCAUGGUGGGGUUUGGAAAGUCUCGGCGGUUGGGGAUGGUCUCGCGGCUUUUCCGCUUGUUGGUGGGGUAGUGGCUUACCAAGGCUUUGACGGGUAGCCGGCCUGGGGGGGUGACCGGCAACAUUGGGACUGGGGUACGGCCCAGACUCCUACGGGAGGCAGAAGGGGGGAAUAUUGAACAAGGGGCGGAAGCCUGAGGCAGCAACGCCGCGUGGGGGAGGACGGCCUUCGGGUUGAAAACCGCUUUGGCCUGUGACGAGGUGUGAGUGACGGUAAUGGGUAAAGAAGCACCGGCUAACUACGUG
RNAcentral lists this ribosomal RNA (468 nucleotides) under uncultured bacterium. Its description in RNAcentral is "partial 16S ribosomal RNA". It matches the Rfam family "Bacterial small subunit ribosomal RNA", at positions 28 to 507 of the family's 1533-position model. The record is from RNAcentral.